RNAcentral lists this ribosomal RNA (424 nucleotides) under Acidobacteriota bacterium. Its description in RNAcentral is "Acidobacteria bacterium partial 16S ribosomal RNA". It matches the Rfam family "Bacterial small subunit ribosomal RNA", at positions 355 to 776 of the family's 1533-position model. The record is from RNAcentral. Lineage: Bacteria; Pseudomonadati; Acidobacteriota.
UGAGGAAUAUUGGUCAAUGGGCGAUGGCCUGAACCAGCCAAGUAGCGUGAAGGAUGACUGCCCUAUGGGUUGUAAACUUCUUUUAUAAAGGAAUAAAGUCGGGUAUGCAUACCCGUUUGCAUGUACUUUAUGAAUAAGGAUCGGCUAACUCCGUGCCAGCAGCCGCAGUAAUACGGAGGAUCCGAGCGUUAUCCGGAUUUAUUGGGUUUAAAGGGAGCGUAGAUGGAUGUUUAAGUCAGUUGUGAAAGUUUGCGGCUCAACCGUAAAAUUGCAGUUGAUACUGGAUGUCUUGAGUGCAGUUGAGGCAGGCGGAAUUCGUGGUGUAGCGGUGAAAUGCUUAGAUAUCACGAAGAACUCCGAUUGCGAAGGCAGCCUGCUAAGCUGCAACUGACAUUGAGGCUCGAAAGUGUGGGUAUCAAACAGG